AUCUCAGGCACCGGCGACCUGAUUGUGCGACGGCUGAGUGCACAGGGUCGCACACGGUACACGUGCAGGGUGACCAGCACGCGGUUCUCUGCCCUCAGUGACACUGUAUUAACUGAAAUGGUGACUAUGUAAUGCCCAUCGAAUCGCACUUGAAGAUGACGCUGAAGACCCGCUUCGAAGCUGACCUCUCUGAAUUACUCCCGUGUAUUAUGACUGAUGAUGUACCUUCUUCAUAACUUUAUCAGAUUAGUUGUGUGACUGAAUUUGCUCUGGAAAUCCAAGGCUCUUAGAGAGAAAGCAUUAGAGGAACACUUAGAUUAACUUUUCCUUUAUUUCCCACUGUAAUUAGCAGGAGGAAAUCAGGUAAUGUCUUUCUCUCUCAGGAAGAUUAAUGUUUAUAUAUUGAUAGCAGCUGCUACGCAUAUGACAUUUACAUCGUGACACGUGUACUGUAGUAUUAUUUUGCAGAUACAAGUUCCUUUUUUUCCUAUUUAUAUCACAAUCGCGCAGAUGAAUUGUAAUGAGCUUGGUAGCUAACAAUAAUAUUGAGUUUGUUACUUAGUUACAUUAUAACAUCAAAUAAAAUUGUAAAGUUGAAU
Long non-coding RNA from Penaeus monodon (black tiger shrimp), 599 nucleotides. RefSeq lists it as uncharacterized. The record is from RefSeq and is a predicted model, not a curated record. NCBI's taxonomy places the organism in Eukaryota, Metazoa, Arthropoda, Malacostraca, Decapoda, Penaeidae. The transcript has 2 exons.